This 369-nucleotide ribosomal RNA is filed under the name uncultured bacterium. RNAcentral describes it as "bacterial SSU rRNA". It matches the Rfam family "Bacterial small subunit ribosomal RNA", at positions 59 to 449 of the family's 1533-position model. The record is from RNAcentral.
AAGUCGAACGCACCCGCUUCGGCGGGUGAGUGGCGCACGGCUGAGUAACACGUGGGAACCUGCCCCCCGGUGGGGGAUAACGCGACGAAAGUUGCGCUAAUCCCGCAUACGUCCUUCGGGGGAAAGCGCAGUGCGCGCCGGGGGAGGGGCCUGCGGCCCAUCAGGUCGUUGGUGGGGUAAUGGCCUACCAAGCCGAUGACGGGUAGCUGGUCUGGGAGGAUGACCAGCCAGACUGGGACUGAGACACGGCCCAGACUCCUACGGGAGGCAGCAGCAAGGAAUUUUCGGCAAUGGGCGCAAGCCUGACCGAGCAACGCCGCGUGCGGGAUGACGGCCUUCGGGUUGUAAACCGCUUUUCGGGGGGACGAC